Alosa sapidissima (American shad) is the source of this 268-nucleotide long non-coding RNA. RefSeq lists it as uncharacterized. The record is from RefSeq and is a predicted model, not a curated record. NCBI's taxonomy places the organism in Eukaryota, Metazoa, Chordata, Actinopteri, Clupeiformes, Clupeidae. The transcript has 3 exons.
CAUUCUCUGCUUCACUGUUAAGGCUACAGGUGCUACCAACCACAUAACCAGCAUUAUGGGCCCCUGGACAUCACUGUUAAGGCUACAGGUGCUACCAACCACAUAACCAGCAUUAUGGGCCCCUGGACAUCACUGUUAAGGCUACAGGUGCUACCAACCACAUAACCAGCAUUAUGGGCCCCUGGACAUCACUGUUAAGGCUACAGGUGCUACCAACCACAUAACCAGCAUUAUGGGCCCCUGGACAUCACUGUUAAGGUCAGACUAC